CUCAGCCCCACGCCCUCCCUGCAGCACGGAGUGGCUGCCGGCCACGGCAGACGUGUGGGAACUGGGGACUCAUGGGGCCGACGCCAGCUGCCACCACACCUGGGAUUAUCACAGGGCUGGCCCCGAAGCGGCAGCAUUUUAGGAGAUAAGGUGUUCAGGAUCACAUACACGGCGUGAGGAGGGCGUGUGAAAUCGGUUAAGGAGGGGAACAGAGAGGAAAGCUCAGGAGUGAGGCAGGAGAGCUCUGUUGGGAAUCGAAGAACCAGCACAUCACCGCCAUGAACACAUCCCCCAAGGAAAUCAGGGUCUCCUGCUGCUCCUCUGGCAGCAGUGCAGGAUCCCUGCUGGGAUGCACCUCGAGUGGGAGGAGGAACGGCAAGAACCACGCGGGCAUCUUUGUUAUUGUUGCAUUCCCAAGGCUAAUGACAGCUUCCCACAGGACCUCACUGCUCAGGUUUGCUCCUUCUUGCUUUCUAUUUCAGAUUUUUUUUUUUUUCCCUGGACAAGUUGAGAGCUGGAAUUAAGUGAAAUCGAGCCACGGGGAUUCCAGAUGGAAACCAAUCCCUUGCUCCGGUGGGGACCGCAAAAGCUCAUGGGGGAGGGAGGGAGCAGCCCCAGU
Molecule: long non-coding RNA, 619 nt
Organism: Numida meleagris (helmeted guineafowl)
Lineage: Eukaryota; Metazoa; Chordata; Aves; Galliformes; Numididae
Exons: 2
Source: RefSeq, a predicted model, not a curated record